CGAAGGAGAGGUUUGCCUUGCGGCCGUUGAGCAGGAUGGUCCCGGAGAGGAAGGCGUUGGCGGCGAGGCGGCCGGCGAGCGCGUCGAGCAGCGUGGACUUGCCGGAGCCGGAGGGGCCCAUGAGCGCGGUGAUGGUCGUGAGAGCAGAGCAGACGAGGGCAAGCCGGGGGUUCCUCUUGGCGACAAGUGGUGGGAACGCACGCACACGGCUCGUUCUCCUCGCCGCAGCUACGUAUGGGAGGAAGCUAGCUGGCCGUACAAGCCAGGCCGGCGUGGGAGAAGAAUGGCGUUUCUUGGGCGGCGUGUCCAAGCUGCAACUGUAGGCUGCUCUCUCUCUCUCUCUCUCUCUCUCUUUCUCUCUCUCUCUCUCUCUCUCUCUCUGUGACUGCCUCUGGGUCUCUGUGUACGCGCUUGGGGUGGCGAGUUUUUAUGAAGGAGCGAGGAGUGAAGCGAAGUGAAGAGGGGGUGGAUGCGAGGAGUUAAUGGAGGCGCAGAGGCGAGAGAGACGGGCUGCGGGGGUUUGACCUGGGGUCAAGCGAGAGGAGGGGGCGGCGCAUGCAUGCGAUGCAGAUGAGGCGGUGGAUGCCUGUUUGGUGUGAGCUUGGCGCGGAGAGGAACACAUGCAUGCAACGGGGGUGCAAAACCGCCGGGUCACGCACACACCGUUUAGACGCUCUCGGCCGCUACCUGCCUUCCUUCGAUCGCAGUUUGGCUGGACAGAAUUGUAGUAUUGCACUGUUGCUGGUUGAUCCAACAGCUAGGGUAGAGAGCAACUUGCAAAUUCAGCAUCAGGUUUCAUGACAACUUGUUUCUACGAGAGUGGACCAAAAGAAAAAUCUAAUACUCUCUCCGUUCACAGAUAUAAGAUGUUCUGGCUUUUUUCCAAACCGAAUUUAUGUGGACACAUUUUGAUGUGUUUGUUCAUCGUUUAAGUCUGUGUGUAGUCCAUUAAAAUAUCAAAAUAUCUCAUAUUUGUGAACGGAGGGAGUACAUGGUUGGUGUAAACUAAAACAAAGAGUAUCGUUUUCUCUUUAUUGAUCGACGAAAAAAAAAGAAA
Molecule: non-coding RNA, 1057 nt
Organism: Aegilops tauschii subsp. strangulata
Lineage: Eukaryota; Viridiplantae; Streptophyta; Magnoliopsida; Poales; Poaceae
Source: RefSeq, a predicted model, not a curated record